UAUCAUUACAUGUUCAGAAUC
Molecule: non-coding RNA, 21 nt
Filed under: Caenorhabditis elegans
Lineage: Eukaryota; Metazoa; Nematoda; Chromadorea; Rhabditida; Rhabditidae
Source: RNAcentral